Molecule: ribosomal RNA, 465 nt
Filed under: uncultured bacterium
Lineage: Bacteria
Description: partial 16S ribosomal RNA
Rfam family: Bacterial small subunit ribosomal RNA
Source: RNAcentral
AUGCACGCUGGCGGCGUGCUUCACACAUGCAAGUCGCACGGAAAGGCUCCUGCUUGCAGGGGUACUCGAGUGGCGAACGGGUGAGUAACACGUGGGUGAUCUGCCCUGCACUUCGGGAUAAGCCUGGGAAACUGGGUCUAAUACCGGAUAGGACGAUGGUUUGGAUGCCAUUGUGGAAAGUUUUUCGGUGUGGGAUGAGCUCGCGGCCUAUCAGCUUGUUGGUGGGGUAAUGGCCUACCAAGGCGUCGACGGGUAGCCGGCCUGAGAGGGUGUACGGCCACAUUGGGACUGAGAUACGGCCCAGACUCCUACGGGAGGCAGCAGUGGGGAAUAUUGCACAAUGGGCGCAAGCCUGAUGCAGCGACGCCGCGUGGGGGAUGACGGCCUUCGGGUUGUAAACUCCUUUCGCUAGGGACGAAGCGUUUUGUGACGGUACCUGGAGAAGAAGCACCGGCUAACUACGUG